Molecule: ribosomal RNA, 303 nt
Filed under: uncultured bacterium
Lineage: Bacteria
Description: bacterial SSU rRNA
Rfam family: Bacterial small subunit ribosomal RNA
Source: RNAcentral
GUGCCUAACACAUGCAAGUCGAACGCGAAAGUGGAGCAAUCCAUGAGUAGAGUGGCAAACGGGUGAGUAACACGUGGGUGACCUGCCUUCGAGCGGGGGAUAACGUCCCGAAAGGGACGCUAAUACCGCAUAACAUCCUGCCUUUUAAGAGGUGGAGAUCAAAGCCUGGGAUCGCAAGACCUGGCACUUGAAGAGGGGCCCGCGCCUGAUUAGCUAGUUGGUGGGGUAAUGGCUCACCAAGGCAACGAUCAGUAUCCGGCCUGAGAGGGCGGACGGACACACUGGGACUGAGACACGGCCCAG